This 1416-nucleotide ribosomal RNA is filed under the name metagenome. RNAcentral's name for it is "bacterial LSU rRNA". It matches the Rfam family "Bacterial large subunit ribosomal RNA", at positions 1505 to 2894 of the family's 2925-position model. The record is from RNAcentral.
CCCCGGUUUAAGCGUAUAGGCUGGUUUUCCAGGCAAAUCCGGAAAAUCAAGGCUGAGGCGUGAUGACGAGGCACUACGGUGCUGAAGCAACAAAUGCCCUGCUUCCAGGAAAAGCCUCUAAGCAUCAGGUAACAUCAAAUCGUACCCCAAACCGACACAGGUGGUCAGGUAGAGAAUACCAAGGCGCUUGAGAGAACUCGGGUGAAGGAACUAGGCAAAAUGGUGCCGUAACUUCGGGAGAAGGCACGCUGAUAUGUAGGUGAAGCGACUUGCUCGUGGAGCUGAAAUCAGUCGAAGAUACCAGCUGGCUGCAACUGUUUAUUAAAAACACAGCACUGUGCAAACACGAAAGUGGACGUAUACGGUGUGACGCCUCCCCGGUGCCGGAAGGUUAAUUGAUGGGGUUAGCCGCAAGGCGAAGCUCUUGAUCGAAGCCCCGGUAAACGGCGGCCGUAACUAUAACGGUCCUAAGGUAGCGAAAUUCCUUGUCGGGUAAGUUCCGACCUGCACGAAUGGCGUAAUGAUGGCCAGGCUGUCUCCACCCGAGACUCAGUGAAAUUGAACUCGCUGUGAAGAUGCAGUGUACCCGCGGCAAGACGGAAAGACCCCGUGAACCUUUACUAUAGCUUGACACUGAACAUUGAGUCUUGAUGUGUAGGAUAGGUGGGAGGCUUUGAAGUGUGGACGCCAGUCUGCAUGGAGCCGACCUUGAAAUACCACCCUUUAAUGUUUGAUGUUCUAACGUUGACCCGUAAUCCGGGUUGCGGACAGUGUCUGGUGGGUAGUUUGACUGGGGCGGUCUCCUCCUAAAGAGUAACGGAGGAGCACGAAGGUUGGCUAAUCCUGGUCGGACAUCAGGAGGUUAGUGCAAUGGCAUAAGCCAGCUUGACUGCGAGCGUGACGGCGCGAGCAGGUGCGAAAGCAGGUCAUAGUGAUCCGGUGGUUCUGAAUGGAAGGGCCAUCGCUCAACGGAUAAAAGGUACUCCGGGGAUAACAGGCUGAUACCGCCCAAGAGUUCAUAUCGACGGCGGUGUUUGGCACCUCGAUGUCGGCUCAUCACAUCCUGGGGCUGAAGUAGGUCCCAAGGGUAUGGCUGUUCGCCAUUUAAAGUGGUACGCGAGCUGGGUUUAGAACGUCGUGAGACAGUUCGGUCCCUAUCUGCCGUGGGCGCUGGAGAACUGAGGGGGGCUGCUCCUAGUACGAGAGGACCGGAGUGGACGCAUCACUGGUGUUCGGGUUGUCAUGCCAAUGGCACUGCCCGGUAGCUAAAUGCGGAAGAGAUAAGUGCUGAAAGCAUCUAAGCACGAAACUUGCCCCGAGAUGAGUUCUCCCUGACUCCUUGAGAGUCCCGAAGGAACGUUGAAGACGACGACGUUGAUAGGCCGGGUGUGUAAGCGCAGCGAUGCGUUGAGCUAA